UCUAUCUCCUUGAGAUAUAACCUUCAUAUUUGGUAUGCAUGUGUAUAUAGACAAGGCCUUUCCAUACGCACACAAUUUUUUACCCCUGUGACCUUGAACUUUCGGUCCGCGUUUAGGUUUCGAAAUCUGCGUUUAGGUUUCGAAAAAAGCUCAUAACUUAUAUUAAGCAUUUAUAGGGGGCAUAAGUCAUCUAAUGGUGACAGCUCUUGUUCUGUUUUAUUUACAGGUAAAAGGACGACAUUAUAUGUUUGGCUUAUUUUGUUUUUCAGAUAAAUCAAGAGUUGUGCUUAACGUGGGACAUAAAACACAAAGUAACAUCUGCAUGCCACCCACAAACAAACGGCCUUGAUGAAAGGAUCAAUCAAACAAUCAAAAGGGCCUUAAGCAAAUUGGUCAACGACAUACAGAACGAUUGGGAUAAAAGGCUUGAUGAGGUUCUUUUCUCAAUUCGGACCAAAAAACAGUCGUCAACAAAAAUCAGCCCAUUCUUCCUUCUGUACGGACGGGAAGCGAUGUACCCGAGUCAGUUGCAGACUGUGGCUCUUGAUGACAUAAUAGGUGUAUUGUCCGACCCAGACAUGAUUGAAAAACAAUCCAGUGUGCGAAAGCAACAAACAGAAACCGCAGGAAAAGUUGUACUGGACAAUAUGUCUAAAGCCAAAAAGACUUAAUUCAAGCCAACAACGAAAAAAGAAAAUUUAAUCAAAUACAUGUUGGGGCUAGGGUGUUAUAGUUCAAUGCUUCGAGGGCGGUGAGAAAAGCCAAAGGAAAUCUUGAAAGUAAUUACACUGGACCAUAUGUUGUAGACAAUAUUAAAGGGAAUAUUGCAACACUAAAAUCAAUGAGUGGACAGGUUUUGAAGUCUGGAGUGUCCCUUAGCAACUUAAAAAUAUUUGUGGAAUCAGCAGUGAAAUCAGCAGAAAAAUGCUUAAAGCUUCAAACAGGAGUCGGCAGAGUAAAUACAAUACAAUGUAUUUGCAGUUUUACAGAAAAGCUAAGUGUUUGUCCAGUCAGCUCCUUCAUUAAUGAGGCUUUAAAACUAAAUCAAGGUAAAAUACACUUAAUACGAACAAGUAA
Molecule: long non-coding RNA, 1077 nt
Organism: Dreissena polymorpha
Lineage: Eukaryota; Metazoa; Mollusca; Bivalvia; Myida; Dreissenidae
Exons: 3
Source: RefSeq, a predicted model, not a curated record